AGGACGAACGCUUGCGGCGUGCCUAAGAAAUGCAAGUCGAGCGGGGGAAGCAAUUCCCUAGCGGCGAACGGUCGCGUAACACGUAGGCAACCUGCCCAAGAGACCGGGACAACACUUCGAAAGGGGUGCUAAUACCGGAUGCGGCUGCUUCCUCGCAUGGGGAAGCAACUAAAUCAUUUAUGGCUCUUGGAGGGGCCUGCGGCCUAUCAGCUAGAUGGUGGGGUAACGGCCUACCAUGGCGACGACGGGUAGCUGGUCUGAGAGGAUGGUCAGCCGGACUGGGACUGAGAUACGGCCCAGACUCCUACGGGGGGCAGCAAUUAGGAAUCUUGCGCAAUGGGGGCAACCCUGACGCAGCGACGCCGCGUGGAGGUAGAAGGCCCACGGGUCGUAAACUCCUUUUCUCAGAGAAGAAGCAAUGACGGUAUCUGAGGAAUAAGCAUCGGCUAACUCUGUGCCAGCAGCCGC
Molecule: ribosomal RNA, 468 nt
Filed under: uncultured bacterium
Lineage: Bacteria
Description: SSU rRNA
Rfam family: Bacterial small subunit ribosomal RNA
Source: RNAcentral